GAUGAACGCUGGCGGCGUGCCUAAUACAUGCAAGUCGAGCGAACAGACGAGGAGCUUGCUCCUCUGACGUUAGCGGCGGACGGGUGAGUAACACGUGGAUAACCUACCUAUAAGACUGGGAUAACUUCGGGAAACCGGAGCUAAUACCGGAUAAUAUAUUGAACCGCAUGGUUCAAUAGUGAAAGACGGUUUUGCUGUCACUUAUAGAUGGAUCCGCGCCGCAUUAGCGAGUUGGUAAGGUAACGGCUUACCAAGGCAACGAUGCGUAGCCGACCUGAGAGGGUGAUCGGCCACACUGGAACUGAGACACGGUCCAGACUCCUACGGGAGGCAGCAGUAGGGAAUCUUCCGAAAUGGGCGAAAGCCUGACGGAGCAACGCCGGGUGAGUGAUGAAGGUCUUCGGAUCGUAAAACUCUGUUAUUAGGGAAGAACAAAUGUGUAAGUAACUAUGCACGUCUUGACGGUACCUAAUCAGAAAGCCACGGCUAACUACGUG
Molecule: ribosomal RNA, 497 nt
Filed under: uncultured bacterium
Lineage: Bacteria
Description: partial 16S ribosomal RNA
Rfam family: Bacterial small subunit ribosomal RNA
Source: RNAcentral